AUUUGGGCCCCCAGGGAAUGCCUUGUGACUUAGCAGAACAGCUGCAGGGGCUGUGGUGUCUGGGGCCACCUGCUCGUGCCCUGUCCCAGCAGCUUUGACAAGAACUGUUUUUAGAAGAGCUUGCUCAUGGAAGGUUUGGGGCCCAUUUCCAGACCUCUGCUUUAAAUGGGUGCCAGGCUUAUUUUGCCAGUAAUCUGGCAUGUUUGUGGGCUCAGGGGCAGGACACAAAGCUUUUGCUCUAAGAUCCAGCUUUUCGACCGGAUUCCUCAUGGUGGCCGUGCCUUCAGCAUCCGUACCAGCAGAAACUUCAUCAGUCCCUUCCAGUCAGCGGAACCUACCUGGAGUUCAAGGCUGCUGUGGUUCCCAGCGUGGGAGGUGGCCCCGCAGCACCAGGCAGGAAUUACUCCCUCAGUGGAAGAGGCUGAGAGCUCGUGAGCCCCUCUCCGUGAAGGGAAUCAGUUUGCUGAAGGCUGAAAUCAUGAGGAAAGUGGGAAGUGGAUUGGGUUUUUUUGGAGCCGAGCGAGGUUUCGGUGUCUCAGACUUCAGCAUCCUGCUCCUGAAGCUGCUGCAGUUGUGUGUGAUGGGAUCCCAGCUCCUCAGUGAGCCGUGAGCUCCCCCAGCUGGGGCAGCUGCUGCCCUGCACCCGGCGCUGAGCACUGCAGGCCGUGGGAACCUUGUGGGUUCCAUUGCUGCUGAAGCUGCUGUUCGUGUGCUCCCUGUGGAAGAACGAUCCCUUCCAGGGAGUUUUUGCAGAAAAAGAUCUCUGGGGGGAGGGUCUGGAAUAUUUGAAAUACGUAAAAUAAGUGAGUAGUUUAGACUGUGUGGAAUACUGGGAGGUGAUUAAAGGUGGUCACCCAAAGCUCCUGCUGUGUCUGUG
Molecule: long non-coding RNA, 877 nt
Filed under: Anas zonorhyncha (Eastern spot-billed duck)
Lineage: Eukaryota; Metazoa; Chordata; Aves; Anseriformes; Anatidae
Description: lncRNA (ENSAZOG00000009669.1)
Source: RNAcentral